CCGUAAACGAUGGUUACUAGCUGUUUGUUGCGUCUUUGACGUGAUGAGUGGUUAAGCGAAAGUGAUAAGUAACCCACCUGGGGAGUACGUUUGCAAGAAUGAAACUCAAAGGAAUUGACGGGGGCCCGCACAAGCGGUGGAGCAUGUGGUUUAAUUCGAUGAUACGCGAGGAACCUUACCAAGGCUUAAAUGCAUAUUGACAGUCCACGAAAGUGGGUUUUCUUCGGACAAUUUGCAAGGUGCUGCAUGGUUGUCGUCAGCUCGUGCCGUGAGGUGUCAGGUUAAGUCCUAUAACGAGCGCAACCCCUGUGGUUAGUUACCAGCAUGUAAUGAUGGGGACUCUAGCCAGACUGCCGGUGCAAACCGUGAGGAAGGUGGGGAUGACGUCAAAUCAUCACGGCCCUUACGCCUUGGGCUACACACGUGCUACAAUGGUAUAUACAAUGAGCAGCCAUCUGGCGACAGAGCGCUAAUCUAUAAAGUAUAUCACAGUUCGAAUCGGAGUCUGCAACUCGACUCUGUGAAGCUGGAAUCGCUAGUAAUCGCACAUCAGCCAUGGUGCGGUGAAUACGUUCCCGGGCCUUGUACACACCGCCCGU
RNAcentral lists this ribosomal RNA (599 nucleotides) under uncultured bacterium. RNAcentral's name for it is "bacterial SSU rRNA". It matches the Rfam family "Bacterial small subunit ribosomal RNA", at positions 800 to 1397 of the family's 1533-position model. The record is from RNAcentral.